UACAGAGGUCUCGAGCGUUAGGCGGAAUCACUGGGCUUAAAGCGUGUGUAGGCGGAUCGUUAAGUACCUUGUGAAAUCCCACGGCUUAACCGUGGAACUGCUUGGUAUACUGGCGGUCUUGAGCCAGCUAGGGGCUACCGGAACAAAUGGUGGAGCGGUGAAAUGCGUAGAUAUCGUUUGGAACGCCAAUGGUGAAAACAGGUAGCUGGGGCUGUGCUGACGCUGAGACACGAAAGCCAGGGGAGCAAACGGG
RNAcentral lists this ribosomal RNA (253 nucleotides) under uncultured bacterium. RNAcentral describes it as "partial 16S ribosomal RNA". It matches the Rfam family "Bacterial small subunit ribosomal RNA", at positions 524 to 776 of the family's 1533-position model. The record is from RNAcentral.